UGCAGCAGUGACUCUGACUAAAUGGAAAUUCUUGGAUCUCCCAGAACCCUGAGGCUUUCUGAUCAUGAUAUGUCUCUGUGGCUCUAAACUGAAACAAUCGGAGCAUGAUCAGUUUGAAUAAAUAAACCACACGGUU
This is a long non-coding RNA of Nematolebias whitei (Rio pearlfish), 136 nucleotides long. RefSeq lists it as uncharacterized. NCBI's taxonomy places the organism in Eukaryota, Metazoa, Chordata, Actinopteri, Cyprinodontiformes, Rivulidae. The record is from RefSeq and is a predicted model, not a curated record. The transcript has 2 exons.